GACACUUCAGCUGAGUCCCUGAAGGAGGUGGUGGGUGGAGGGGCCCAGGCUGCACUCAGGCUGCAGGAAGCUUGUCUGUUUCUGUGUUUGCCCUCCCCAUGGCCUGCAUGGUCCUCAGUGCAGGGGCUGUGGCUUCCACCCUUAGCACAGUGCCGGCCUUGCUGGACACUCAAGAGAGGUGCUGCCCGAUCACCUUAACAGCCCUCUGGGACCCGUGGCCAUGUGUUCACAACAGCGGCCACGGCAGGUGUUUCCUGAGCUCUUGUCGUGACCUCUGUCGGCUCCAUCUCAUUGAUCCUCCCAGCAACCCACAGGGAGGAGAGGUUUCUGAACAGAUGAGGAAACUGGGGCAUUUGGCUAAAGCUGUUGAUUUGCCAGAGCCCCACAGCAGUAGCUUCCCGUAGAGGCAGAUGCCGCACAAGCCACCCACCCAGAUGCAGAGCCUGAUUCCCUGUGUGGACUGGACGGCAGUUUCCCAGCUGGAGUUCUCUGGGCCAAGCUGCCUGUGACAUGGGGUUGGGGGUGCUCCAGAGAGUCAUGGCUGUCCCCAGAGGAAGUGACUUGUGGCUGACCGCUCAAGGGGAAGUCCUGGCGGUGGAGUCAUCAGCAUUCAUUCAAAUAAGAGAGAGGCUGCUGUAGGAGCCAGGCUCAGAGACAUGGAAAUGCCUAGCCAGAAGCACACAGUUCCCGAACUGCAGUCCAGCUGGGGGCCCCACGGGGCCUCAUUUUGUCACAGGCUGUGUGUUGGGGUUGGGGAGCAGGACAGGGUGAGUGAGUCCCUGGAGGAAAGUAAUAAAGAUCCAUCUGUUUGUUCAACAAACAUUUACUCGCUAUGCACUGGCCUAGUCUGCUGCUCAGUGAAGACCACGAUGAGGCUGUUGAUGGAGCUGGCAGACCAGUGGGGGUGACUAACCCGGGAGCCACUUGAGCCCCCCACAGUGUCCCUGUGCUGGCAUGGGACUUCUGCAAGGCCCUGGGGGCCCUGAGCAGGGAAGGGGAAUGGGAAGAGGAGGACUGUCAACAAGGGGUCAGGAGGGAGGGCACCCUGCAGCUGUGGCUUCCAGGCUAUGCAGGUGCUGUUGGCAGAGGCGAGGGAGACCAUGUGCUCAACCUGUGGGGCCUGGCCGUGGGGAGGAGAGAGUCUGUCAGCCUCGGGCAGCUGCCGGCACAUGGCAGAGGCUGGGCUCUUACCUUAUAGGGUGAUGGUGCUCAUGCUGCAUUGAGCUCAAGUUACCUGGGGAAGGUACAGAUUC
Long non-coding RNA from Cebus imitator (Panamanian white-faced capuchin), 1253 nucleotides. RefSeq lists it as uncharacterized. The record is from RefSeq and is a predicted model, not a curated record. NCBI's taxonomy places the organism in Eukaryota, Metazoa, Chordata, Mammalia, Primates, Cebidae. The transcript is spliced from 4 exons.